RNAcentral lists this ribosomal RNA (497 nucleotides) under uncultured bacterium. Its description in RNAcentral is "partial 16S ribosomal RNA". It matches the Rfam family "Bacterial small subunit ribosomal RNA", at positions 28 to 507 of the family's 1533-position model. The record is from RNAcentral.
GAUGAACGCUGGCGGCGUGCCUAAUACAUGCAAGUCGAGCGAACAGACGAGGAGCUUGCUCCUCUGACGUUAGCGGCGGACGGGUGAGUAACACGUGGAUAACCUACCUAUAAGACUGGGAUAACUUCGGGAAACCGGAGCUAAUACCGGAUAAUAUAUUGAACCGCAUGGUUCAAUAGUGAAAGACGGUUUUGCUGUCACUUAUAGAUGGAUCCGCGCCGCAUUAGCUAGUUGGUAAGGUAACGGCUUACCAAGGCAACUAUGCGUAGCCGCGCUGAGAGGGUGAUCGGCCACACUGGAACUUAGACACGUUCCAGCCUCCUACGGGAGGCAGCAGUAGGGAAUCUUCCGCAAUGGGCGAAAGCCUGACGUAGCAACGCCGCGUGAGUGAUGAAGGUCUUCGGAUCGUAAAACUCUGUUAUUAGGGAAGAACAAAUGUGUAAGUAACUAUGCACGUCUUGACGGUACCUAAUCAGAAAGCCACGGCUAACUACGUG